This 320-nucleotide long non-coding RNA is filed under the name Gossypium raimondii (Peruvian cotton). RNAcentral describes it as "long non-coding RNA (GRAI_LNC008174)". Lineage: Eukaryota; Viridiplantae; Streptophyta; Magnoliopsida; Malvales; Malvaceae. The record is from RNAcentral.
UUCUUUUAAGCUUCUCUCGUUAACACCCUCGUUAGUAAAGAAGAACUCUCUUGGUUUCUUCGAUGAUAACAAAGUCUAGUAGAGAAGAUGAAUUAGAAAUCUUCUCUCUACUAUCACGUUAGAAAUCUUCUCUCUACUAUCACGCUAUCUUAUUUAUAGGUAAUUUACGUCCAAAUCUCAAUCAAGAUUACCUCUAAUCACAUCCUAUAAGGCUCUCCAAGUGUCCUAGUUACUGACACGUUGCCUCCACAAGGAUGUCAGGUGACUUAAACGUAUCCUACAAGUCAUCGUACUUACUUUAGUAACGACACUAAAAACAC